UGGAAUUUGUGGUCCUUACGC
RNAcentral lists this non-coding RNA (21 nucleotides) under Arabidopsis thaliana (thale cress). The record is from RNAcentral. Lineage: Eukaryota; Viridiplantae; Streptophyta; Magnoliopsida; Brassicales; Brassicaceae.